UCCCGUCAAUUUCUUUGAGUUUUAAUCUUGCGACCGUACUCCCCAGGCGGUCAACUUCACGCGUUAGCUACGUUACUAAGGAAAUGAAUCCCCAACAACUAGUUGACAUCGUUUAGGGCGUGGACUACCAGGGUAUCUAAUCCUGUUUGCUCCCCACGCUUUCGUGCAUGAGCGUCAGUGUUGGCCCAGGGGGCUGCCUUCGCCAUCGGUGUUCCUCCGCAUAUCUACGCAUUUCACUGCUACACGCGGAAUUCCACCCCCCUCUGCCAGACUCUAGCUUGCCAGUCACAAAUGCAGUUCCCAGGUUGAGCCCGGGGAUUUCACAUCUGUCUUAACAAACCGCCUGCGCACGCUUUACGCCCAGUAAUUCCGAUUAACGCUUGCACCCUACGUAUUACCGCGGCUGCUGGCACA
Molecule: ribosomal RNA, 414 nt
Filed under: Robbsia andropogonis
Lineage: Bacteria; Pseudomonadati; Pseudomonadota; Betaproteobacteria; Burkholderiales; Burkholderiaceae
Description: partial 16S ribosomal RNA
Source: RNAcentral